GUUAUAACCGGCGAUACCCGAAUGGGGAAACCCAGUGUGAUUCGUCACACUAUCAUUAACUGAAUCCAUAGGUUAAUGAGGCGAACCGGGGGAACUGAAACAUCUAAGUACCCCGAGGAAAAGAAAUCAACCGAGAUUCCCCCAGUAGCGGCGAGCGAACGGGGAGGAGCCCAGAGCCUGAAUCAGCAUGUGUGUUAGUGGAAGCGUCUGGAAAGGCGCGCGAUACAGGGUGACAGCCCCGUACACAAAAGCGCAUGUGCUGUGAGCUCGAUGAGUAGGGCGGGACACGUGGUAUCCUGUCUGAAUAUGGGGGGACCAUCCUCCAAGGCUAAAUACUCCUGACUGACCGAUAGUGAACCAGUACCGUGAGGGAAAGGCGAAAAGAACCCCGGCGAGGGGAGUGAAAAAGAACCUGAAACCGU
Molecule: ribosomal RNA, 422 nt
Filed under: Salmonella enterica subsp. enterica serovar Infantis
Lineage: Bacteria; Pseudomonadati; Pseudomonadota; Gammaproteobacteria; Enterobacterales; Enterobacteriaceae
Also listed under: 7 other names
Description: partial 23S ribosomal RNA
Rfam family: Bacterial large subunit ribosomal RNA
Source: RNAcentral